GUAAGCUCUGGGAGUUGGUGAUGGACAGGGAGGCCUGGCGUGCUGCAGUCCAUGGGGUCUCAAAGAGUCAGACAUGACUGAGCGACUGAACUGAACUGAACUGAACUGAACCUGCCCUUUGCUGCAAAACUAUAUAACCUGGCUUUCCCCUCUCACCUCCUCAGAGCGGUUCUCCCAGGGUCACUUGAGAUGCUGCUUCUUGGGCUUAAGCCCUAAAAAUUCCCAGCAAAAGAACACACAAAAAAACCUCUCAACUUUUCAGUUGUGAAUAUCUUUUAAGUCCACGCUUGUGUGCCUAGAUUCACACGCAGUGCAAUCAGCAUGUUACUGAGGCCAAGCUUGCUCUGCUCGCUGGGAGACCAGGUGUUGAGGCAAGGAAUAUGACUUUAUUUGGAGAACCGGCUGAUCAAGAAGAUGGCAGACAAAUGUCUGAACAUAACCAUCUCACCCGGGUCUGGGUGCCAGGUUCCCUUAUGGAUCAGAGAUGGGGCGAAGGUGAGGAAACAAAGUAGAAAGGCCAUCAACCUUGUGGAUAUCUCCUAGAAUGGCAAACCUCAGACAGCGGGAUGUGUUCCUUCCUGCCUGCCAUCCACAGGUGGACAGGCUUCUGAACAAAGACACUUUAGCUGAACAGUGAGGCAGAGAGGCAGGAUUCGCUGAGGCAGGCCAUCGUGUAUGAUUACAAUAAGAGCAGCAAUGAAAAAGCAAGUCACACAGUUCCAACAGGAGGUCAGAACUGGCUUCUCCCAGGGUGAACCAGCAGUGUGCUCUUUCCCCUGAGGACCCGGGGAGGCGGGCGAGGAGGGAGCCCCUCACCUCAGACACAGCUUUGGGGCAGGACUGGGAGAGCCAGAAAGGCAGAGAUCACAGUAAAUAACAUUUCUGUGAAAUGUAUUAAAAGUCAAAACAAAUGCAAAUUAUCCAUGAUAAGCAAAACUAUCAGUGUUUUGGGUAAAGACAGGAUCAGCAGAACUGACUUUUCUCUCCACUUUGGUCUCCAGUGUGGCUGGCACAGUGCUGAUUUCUCUUUGCUGUUUUUUUUUUAGGAAAGAGGAGCUUCCCUGGUGGCUGAAAUGGUAAAGAAACUGCCGCAGGUGGGUUCUUUACCACUACCACCACCUGGGAAGCCCACAAAGAGAGCAAGAAGACACGUGCACUGGCGUUUACACAGAAAGGAUGGGGGCAGUUGCGGCUGGCGAGCACCACCCAUGUGGACACCCGGCGUCCUUCAGCGGACUGUGUGCUUCAGUGCCGUAAGCUCUGUUCUCUCCCCGCUCCCCCCACCCCGUCCCUCCCCCAGUUUGGGGACCCUGGCUGUGGAUCCUCAUGUAUAUUUUACGUGUCUAUCAGGGCAGCAGGAGAUUCAAAGUGCCUGAAAAAUUAAAAGCUUUUUAUUCUCUUGCUUUUCCCCCCCUGCUUUUAUUACAUACAAAUUUGGCAUAGAAUACCAUGCCUGAUGCGGACAUGUAAUAUUUAAUAAACAGCUGUUGCUUUUUCUUUGCUAUC
Molecule: long non-coding RNA, 1506 nt
Organism: Bubalus bubalis (water buffalo)
Lineage: Eukaryota; Metazoa; Chordata; Mammalia; Artiodactyla; Bovidae
Exons: 2
Source: RefSeq, a predicted model, not a curated record